AUCUGUUUAACUAUGGCAGUAGGAAGCUUUUUUUACUUCGUUGCAUAAAAUUUGUUUAUAUUUAUUCUUUAAGAAAUCUUUUUUGUGAAUUAGCAGCUAAUUUUUUAUUUAAGCGAGUGCUUUUUAAGAAGUGGGGAGUUAAAAGGGGAAAGGUCACAGUGCCAGCAUCCGCGGUUAUUCUGUUUUCUUUGCUUUUAUUUAGAACUGGGUUUGGUUAUAUAGUCUUAAGGUUUGGUGAAAUUUUCUUAGGUUAAUGUUAUAUGAUCAGUUUGAUAAAAUUAGCUUAUAGCGACAGGGAUUAGAUACCCCAUUAGUAGCUAUGGUAGUAGGUUUCUUAGUUUUAUAACUAAAAUAGUUUGGCAGCAAGUUAAUCCUGUUAGGGGAAGGUGUGAUUUAAAGGAUGAUCCGCCUAUUAAGUUACCUGUGUUAUGUUGGUGUAUAUCUGGUUGUAUAUUAUUGUUUAGUGACACAAAUUUGUGUAGUUAUAGUUAAGCCAAGUCUAUGUGCUGCUUGCACAGGUUAUCAUGCGUUACAGUUAUAUAUGCUUACUUGUAAUAGUAGGCUCCUUAGGACUUAAUAGUAAUAGGUUAUUAGUUUGUGCCUGUGAAAUAGGUUUGGCUUGGGUACACACCGCCCGUCACCCUCGAUGAUUAUUGAGGUAAGUCGUAACAAGGUAACCCCAAAUGAAUUUGGGGUUAAUUAUAGUUAUACUUUUGAGUAAUAGCU
This 726-nucleotide non-coding RNA is filed under the name Rhinebothrium fulbrighti. The record is from RNAcentral. Lineage: Eukaryota; Metazoa; Platyhelminthes; Cestoda; Rhinebothriidea; Rhinebothriidae.